RNAcentral lists this ribosomal RNA (867 nucleotides) under Triticum aestivum (bread wheat). RNAcentral describes it as "partial small subunit ribosomal RNA". Lineage: Eukaryota; Viridiplantae; Streptophyta; Magnoliopsida; Poales; Poaceae. The record is from RNAcentral.
AUGUGUCUCCAAUUUGUCACUCAUACAGUUCAAAAAAAAAUUUGUCACUCAUCUAGUAUUGAUGUAUAUCCAAAAGACCAAAAACAAGGGGAGUUGUACACAGCGGGCAGAGAGGAUGAGAGCUCACUCUAUGUACAGGUGGAGCAGAGACGACGAACUCACUCUAUGUGCAGCGGAGCUCGGAGGAAGACGAUCACUCUAUGUACAGCCACUCUAUGUGCAGCUAAAAACUACCUAAUUGAUCAGCCCGGAGUCGAAUUGGGUCUUAAAACUCCAACCCUCCGGCUUAACCCCCACCGAUCUUCUUUCUAUACAGCGACCGGAUUAUUCAGGGAACUUCUUUCCUAUGUACAGUAUGUUCAGUAUGUACGUAUCUUCGCUAUGGCAUGUCGACGAUGUUGUUUUUUUUACUGGCGGCCGCCGGCGGCGGAGAGCCGGCUUGGCCCGGCGUGGAACCGCUCCACCACUCGCUUCCGGUGCUGCUGCUGCUGCACGGCGGGGGACGGCACGAGCGCCUUGCGUGCCCAGUGCCCGCUCCCCAUGGGGACGCGCUGCGCCAGCCCGCUGUACGAGCGUUUAGAGCAGCCGCUACCGCUGCCGCUGGGGACGAGCUGCGCGAACGGGCUCGCCGUGCGCUUCGACGGCGGUGAAGGCGGAGAGGCGGGCCUGCUGCUGACGGCGGGGGCCGCCUGUUUGCCCUCCUUGUGGAGGCUGCAGCGGAACGAGCCCGGGUGGUUCGUCGGGGAGCACAUGCAGGACCGACGGACCUUGGCGGUGGGAGAGGAGGGGGGAGACGAGACGCUGACGGACUUGACCGGCGAGCCGGCGGCGGAGAGCUUGACACGGGAGAGCGAGGCGGAUUGGUAG